GGGGGGGGUGGGGGGGGGGGGGGGGUCCUUCAGUCAGGAGUGUGGGUAAUGCUGAGUGGCAGUCGCUAGCCCAGGCUAGGAUGGGGUCAGAGGUCAUGGGGGGGGUCCCUGGUCACAGUCUCUGUGACCCACAGGUUGAAGCCCUCAGGUCGCCACUAAAGGGUCAGAGAGCACAGUGGGGGCAGGAAGCAGGAAGAUGGAGCUGGAGGCGGGAAUCCCAGUUCUAAGGUGAUGGGGCAGGAACUGGGGACUAGAGGGGGUUGUGGGGUCAGGGGUCACUAGACAUCCAGGUAGAAUGCAGGAGGGUGUGAAUCCCAGGGAAGGACAAGCUGGAGAGCAGGGACCAAGAAGCCAGAGCCUCAGAAACAGACGGUGUGACAGGCACUCUCGCUGUGUGCAGGGGGGCUGCGCCUCCUCCAGGAGGGGUCCAAAUAGCGGGGGGGAGGGGCCUUCCAGAGGGUGCGGGGAAGCCUGAGAGCAAAGCAUCACGGAGCCAACUCCCAGGGGUGUGUUGGGGGCGGUUCUCAAGGUCCCUGCGGGCCCGCGGAGAGGAACACCCUCCCACCCUGCCUGGAAAGCAGAAGUGAGAGCACGGAGAGCUGGGCGGAGCGCGAAGCCCAGGUGGGCCUGACCUCGGACUUCAUGUAGGCGGCCACGCCCUUGGCAGCGCUGAUGAUCACGUAGGGGACGCGGUCGCCCAGGCUGGGCGCGCUCCCGGGGUCCCGCUUCCUCAUCCUGCGGGGAGACCAAGGCGGCGGGCCCGGGUGAGGGCAGGUGGCCCCGGCGGGGGCGGGCCGGCGGGCUAGGAAGUGGCGGGCCCAGCUGGCGGGUGAGGGGCUAUUUCUGGCCGCUCCCGCCCCCUCCCCGGCUGGGCGCACCUCUCGGCCAGCUCCACGUGGGCCUGCUUGCCCGCGUAGUCGGCGGCGGCGCGGGUCAGCUCCUUGGUAAUGACCAGCUGCGAGAUGUCAAUGCGAUUACACAGCAGGUCGGAGAUGACGUCCUGUGCAUGCGCCACGGCGCCCGCGGGGUCUCUGCCUGGGCCUGACACCUGUGUCCCCAGGGGAGGAGGGGCUCGGGGCCGGGUGGAGGUCCCCACGCACCGGUCGAUGAGCAGGCGGCGCAGCGAGGCGGUGACGAGGUUGGCCACCAGGGGGCAGUUGUCCCUGCGCACAGCCUCCAGGCCCUUGCAGUCCAUGCGGUCGUGGGCGUCGGGCCGGGAGGAGAAGAGCAGGCCCGCGUACCGCUUCUUGCUGAUGAGCAGCCGGAUGGGCGAGGGGAAGUGGCCGGACACCCAGUCUGCAGCCUCCCGUCCCAAAGCCAUCGCCUCAGCCACGGAGGAGACGCCGAAGCGGCACAUGACCGAGUCUGUGUCACCAUACACCACCUGGGGAGGGGCGCGUGUGACCCGGAGGGGCGGGGAGAUGCUGGGCGGCCCCCACACUUCCCACGCCAGCCCCAGGCCCGUCUCAGGCAGCAGCAGGCAGGCAGGAGGCCCCUGACCUUGGCGCUGGUGCUGUAGCCGUUCUCCACCGUGUACUUGGUCUCCACGAGCUGCUUUGUCUUCUCAAUCAUCUGGCGCCCAAACCCGGUGACGCUCUGUUGGGGAGAGAAUCACACAGAGUGAGGGCCGUUUGCAGGGGCCAGGUAUGAGCAUGGGUAAGCCACUGUCUCUCUGGGUCUCAGCUUCCAAAUAUGUAAAAUGGGCUACUGAGCUGUUCCUGCAUGGAGGUCCGUAGAUGAGGGCCUGACAGCAGCAAACAGUGGCGGAAAGGCCAGUGCCAGAAGAGGCCAUCAGCUCAGUGUGUCUCUCCACAGAGGUGCUGAGACAUCUGGUGAUAUUCCUGGUCCCAUUCCCCCAUCCUUGGGCAAUCAGAAAUGUCCACCCCUCAAAGACAGGGGGCUGUACCAGGGCCAGGGGGAGACCACUCCUUUCCAAAUAAGGAAACUGAAUUUGGGGGAGGAGGAGGGACACACUAAGGAGAAACACACGUGACUUCUGUUUUUGCCUGGACCCAGCCAGAAAACCUUUGUGUUUAACUGGAGCAUUUAGGCCAUUUAUGUUUAGUGUAAUUACUGAUUAUAUCUGCGCUUAAAUCUACCAUCCAGCUGUCUUCUAUUUGUUUCACCAUUCGAUGUUCCUUUUUCUACCUGUUUUCUGAAAUGACUCGGUACUCUUUUUUCUUCCACCCUCUGGCCUUCAUAAGCUUAAGAGACAGACUAGGAAAAGAUGCUAAAAAACAGUCAUAACUGAGACAGAGAGAAGGGGCUGAGAGGAAAGUGACGAGAGGCAGGGCCAGGAAGCGGCAGCAGCGAUGAGGAAGUGCCAGGGGAAAGGCCCAGCCACACCCUCCUGCCUGGCCUCCCCUUGGGAGCUGCAACCCGAUGCCCAAGCAUCCACUGCUUUCCACCGAGGAGGUUGGGAGAGGCCCCGGGGACUAGCAAGGGCCAGAAAGAGCGGUAAGAGUGAUCCACCACAGAGAUUAGCCUCGCCCAAAUGGCUGGCUCUUGGGAGGGAACCUCGAAGCCCUUGGCAUGUCCUGCCUGACAAAUGUCUUUGUUCAUCUGGGACGUUGGGUCACACCAAGUGAUCUAAUGUGAUUUAUGGUGGGGGCCUUAGGCCACACCGUAUCACCUUGACCUCUGGAGGGACUGGAGACUGAGUAACUGAGGUCAGUCACAUGGUGUACUCUGUGCACCUGACCCUCAAUAAAAACCCAGGCCACCAAGGCUCGGGUGAACUUCCUUGAUGGGCAGUACCACAUGUACGUCAAUGCGGGGAGGAAGGAGAGCUGUCUGCAGGACUCCCCUGGGAAAGGCAAGUGGAAGCUUCCACCUGGUCUCCCCUGGACUCUGCCCCAUGUGCCUUUCCCUUGGCUGCUUUUAACCCCUAUCCUUUCACUGUAAUAAAUCAUAACCAUGAGUAUAACAGCUUUUCUGAGUUCUGAAUCCUUCUAGUGCAUCACUGGAUCUGAGGGUGGGCUUGGGGGCCCCUGAACUACACCUGAUCCCAGCUCGGCAGAACCUCAGAGAGUCAGGCCCGCUGUGGUCUUGCCACGGGUCUGUUUUUCUCUCUGAGCAGUAAACAGCCCCACAGGAUGCUGCUGUGGGCACAUCUGCCCACGUUUCCUCUCAGAGCAGAGCAGUGUCCGUGCCAGCGGAGUGUCCUCACCGGGGUCCUCACUCAGGCCCAGGACGGGGGACCUGCACCUGUCCAGACGGUGACUGAGGACGUAAAGUCAAAUGCCCGCACCUGACCGCGCUGCUGGGUGACCCCCAGCCUCGGUGGUCUGGGUUUUUAUUGGAGUCAGGUGCCUGGCGCACCAUGUGACUGACCUUAGUUACUCAGCCUCCAGUCCCUCCAGAGGGCAAGGGGAUACAGUGUGGCUCAAGGCCCCUGACAGAGACACGGCCCUGUUCUCCCAUCAGGAGGGGAAAGGGAAGGUGCUCUCUACCCUGCCACCCCGAUGGAGACCAGCGCAGGAGGUGGCAACUGCCAGGAACACGAGGCUGCCAAGUGACUGAGGGACAGGUGGAAAGAGCAAGCUAGACUGGGCCCCUCCCUCCAUUCCUCGGCCUCUGCCGGCCCUGCCCUGCCCCACCCCGCUCCUCCCUCCCCAACUGCCCUCCUGUACACAUUUACUCCUGUCGCCAUCGGUGUCCCCGCAAGGCUGGACACUAGGACAGGCGCUCUCACCUGGUGUCACCGGCUGGACCCACGAAGCGCAGGGCCCAGCCCACAGUGAACGGUCAGCAAGUGUUCUGCUGAACCAAUCACGUGGGCAUCCACUCUCCAAAAGGCCGGUGGGUUGGGGCUAUCCCGGCCCUGACCUCCACCACACUGAGCCCUGAUUCUCCCCAAGAGGGGGUGUCUGCCCUCCACCUGCCGCUGUGCACUCACCUGUGAGAUUUCCAGGCACGGCAGCCUACCCACCUGGGCGCCAGUGAAGCCGUACACAGAGUUAGCACUCACUUUCAGCGCCAGCUGGCGCCCGUCCAACACUUGUCGCCGUAGGGGGUCUGUCUCCUUGGCCAGCUCGGCCUUGGCCCUGGGAAAAGAAAGGAGAACGUGGGGACCAAAGGCCACUUGAGGGGCAUCCCAGGCCUCAGGGGGAGAUGAGAGGGCUGGGUCAGGGUGCCCUUCUGAAAAGGGGUGCCACCUGCAGUCGUGCAGGCCGCACACUGUAUGGGGUUGCCUGGCAGAGGGGCUGGCGGAAGCUGCCCGCAGUGGGUGACUGGUUCCAGCUGAGGCGCAGCUGCAGCGACAUGCACUGCUGAGGGACAGGGACUCCAGGCCACUUCAACAAGCUCAGAGCAGGGUGGGCGGGGAGAGCUCAAGGGCCCACCUCUUCCGGGCGCUGAGCAGGUUUUCUAGGAUCUGGGGGAGCAGCCCCUUCCGCACCGAUGUCUUCACAAACUCGUCCCCCGUGGGUGUCUUGAUGAACUGAUCCUCGGUCAGGCUGGAUGAGAGAUGGUGAGGGUGACGCCUGGCCAUCCCCCACCAUGGCUCCUCCUCUUCAUCCCUCAGGACGCCCCUACCUCUUGCCAGUCCCCUCCCCUCCCCGCUAGCUCUGGGUCUCUGGCCCCUCUGGCCGGUCCCGGGGCAGUCUCAGGGUACACGUGGUGAGUGAGGCGCUGUACCCUAGUUUCCCCCUCGGUGGGGAGUGCGGUGGCCUGACCGCCCCAGGCUCUGCCUGCUGACCUGUCGCAGCAGCUGGGACACGACCUUGACCUGCUGGCCGCGGCUGAGCAGGUAGCCGAGGGGCACGCCGGUGACACGCGCCAUCUCCAUGGCGUUCACCAGCACCAUGAGCCGCUCCAGCAGCCGCAGGGGCAGGAAGGCGUCCUUGAGGCAGUACACGGCCAGGCGGCGGCGCGUCUGGUCGUUUCCGUUCUGGGGACAGGGACAGGGGUCAGGGGGGCGACAGGGUGGAAGGGAGCAGGGUGCGGUCUGAGAGACUAGUGUGGACUAGGAAGCGCAGGGCAGUGGAACAGAGGUCACCAUGCCAGAGGUCACAGGAAUGGCUAAGGAUACAGUUCCCAUCUGCGGCGGGAGGUCAGAGGUCAAGGGCAAGAGGUGAAGGGAAAGGUCAGGAGAACAGGCACAGGAUGUCCAAGAGCGGGAAGGUAAGCGGGAGUUGAGGGGCGGAGUCUGAGGGGGCGGGAGGCGGGGUCUGAGGGGACGGGAGGCGGAGUCUGAGGGCUCAGGAGGCGCGGUCUGAGGGGACAGGAGGCGGGGCCUGAGGGCUUGGGAGGCGGGGCCUGAGGGCUUGGGAGGCAGGGUCUGAGGGGACGGGAGG
RNAcentral lists this long non-coding RNA (5297 nucleotides) under Ovis aries (sheep). Its description in RNAcentral is "lncRNA (ENSOARG00000026933.1)". The record is from RNAcentral. Lineage: Eukaryota; Metazoa; Chordata; Mammalia; Artiodactyla; Bovidae.